GACGAACGCUGGCGGCGUGCCUAAUACAUGCAAGUAGAACGCACAGUUUAUACCGUAGCUUGCUACACCAUAAACUGUGAGUUGCGAACGGGUGAGUAACGCGUAGGUUACCUGCCUGGUAGCGGGGGAUAACUAUUGGAAACGAUAGCUAAUACCGCAUAAUAUUGAUUAUUGCAUGAUAAUUGAUGGAAAUUUGCUAUUGCAUCACUACCCAAUGGACCUACGUUGUAUUGGCUAGUAGGGGAGGUAACGGGUCACCUAGGCGAGGAUACAUAGCCGACCUGAGAGGGGGAUAGGCCAAACUGGGCCGGGGACACGGCCCAGACCCCUACGGGAGGGAGCCGUAGGGAACCUUCGGCAAUGGAAGAAAGGCUGACCGAGGAACGACGGGUGAGUGACGAAGGGUGUCGGAUCGUAAAACUCGGUUGUGAGAGAAGAACGGGUGUGAGAGUGGAAAGUGAACACAGUGACGGUAUCUGACCAGAAAGGGACGGCUAACUACGUG
This 505-nucleotide ribosomal RNA is filed under the name uncultured bacterium. RNAcentral describes it as "partial 16S ribosomal RNA". It matches the Rfam family "Bacterial small subunit ribosomal RNA", at positions 28 to 507 of the family's 1533-position model. The record is from RNAcentral.